RNA transcript from Gopherus flavomarginatus (Mexican gopher tortoise), 5117 nucleotides. It is a transcript of the gene named mitochondria localized glutamic acid rich protein, with no coding region annotated. Lineage: Eukaryota; Metazoa; Chordata; Testudines; Testudinidae. The record is from RefSeq and is a predicted model, not a curated record. The transcript is spliced from 8 exons.
ACUGUAAAAGUUACAGCUAGCCCCCCUUAAUAGUUUACAAGCAGCCAGUAAAAAAAAGCAGAAGCCUCACAAACACAAUACCCUAAACUUUUAAACUGUCUCCCCUUGUCAGUUUUAAGGCAGUUAAAGCUGGUUCUUAGCUGGUUUUUGCUAAGCAAAUUGCAAAAGUGCAGGGUUUGUUAACCAAUCAAAUGCUAGCACAACCAAAGCCAGUAUAUAAAUGUGUAUAAAAAAUUCUUAAUUUUUAUAUUAAAUAAAGUUUUUUGUACCAAAAUACAAGGCUCUCCCUUUUUCUGCAAAAAAAAGCAUUUUUCCUUAUCCUUGUCAAACCCAACUAGCAAAAUCCUUCAUCACCAACGUGAGUGAUCCCUUGUGUGCUGAAGGAUUUGUGUGGGCCCAUUACUCAGAUUACAACUUUUUUUUAAACCUCUCCUCUAAUCACCCCAGUCCUUUAGUUAUGUAAAUAACUCCCCAUGGGAGAGCUCCCAAUCCCUCAGGGACUAGUAGGUCUGCACAGUCCGUGGCUCGUGCCUCAGCCUUCUUAAGGUCAUUUCUCGGACAGCAGAGGGGAGGGGAAGGACCUGAGGUCGGGUCAGAAUGCAGGGAGGCUGGGUCCUAGAGGUGCGGCCUGGCCCCGGGAGGAGGAGAGUGGGCCGGGUCUGCCCUCUCUGUCCCCUCCCACUCAGGCGGAGUCGCUGCCUCCUUCCCUCGCUCAAUCCCGCAGCUUCGCUCGGCAGCCGGGUGAGCUGUGCCCAGUCGCUCUGUGCAGUCCCGCAGCGCAGCCACCAUGUACGUCUGCAGGGCUGCCUGGCAGGCGCUAGCCGCUCGCUUGGCCAGCGUGUCCUCCACUGCCACCCUGCUCAGAAAGCGCGCACCUCUUCGCCAGAUGUCAUCUGGCAGCGUCCCUGGCUCUUCUGGGGAGAACCUGAUUUACUAUCUGUUUGCUGGUGUGGCGUGCACUGCUGGUGGAUAUUAUGCCUACAGAACAGUCACGUCAGACAAAAAGAGGUACAACGAACGUAUUCACGCUAUUCGGCAGAGUAAUACAGCUGAGUGGAAACCAAAACCCUGGCCACCCCAGUGUGAUGAACUGGAGACAGCUGAAGACACUGAAGCAAGUGAGCAGGCCACAGAGGCACCUACAGAAGAGACUGAAGCACUAACUGCUGAUGAAUCUACAGAACAGAAUGAGAGGUCUAUGGUGUCCACAGAAGCUGAAGGGGAAAAAGAAUCGCCAGUUGCGGAUGCAUCCUCUGCUGUGGAGGAAGCACAGCAGGAAGCCACUGCUAGCUUGGAGGCUGCCCAAGUGCAAGAAGUUGUAGGUGAAGACUUGGAUGUUGCUGCAGCUUCUGCUCAUGAGGACAACAUAGACAGUAUUCAAGAAGGAACAGCCUCAGCAGCUCAAGAGAUGCCUGACACAUCCUCCAGGAACCAGGAGGCUGUUGAGGAUGAGUCUGGGCAGGAUUCAGAAGCUUCUUCGGCAACAACGGGAUCUCAAAAAAUUCCUAAGGAUUCUUAAAGUGAGCAACAGUGACACCAUUGAAGAGUUUCACAGAAAUAUGUAUGACAAUCAACCAGCUGACUGAUGUUCUGAAAUCUACUGCUCUUCUUUGGAAAUAUAAAACAAAUCUUGCAGCAAGCGCUGACUGUACUUCUCAAAACGUGGGUGUUGGAGAAUGCCCAGUUGCUUUCUGAAGCUGCCCUUUCACAAGAGUGAGAAGUCUGUCAGCCUUCAGGAAGAAAGAUCCUUAGAAGCAGAGCUCAAUCCAGGACUUGUUUAGGGUUUCCAGAGGCUUUUAACCGAAUUAAAGAAUCUAAUCACUCCAGUGCAAAUUGUACAGCUGCUUCUUGUCAUAGCUCUUUUUUUGAAAAUAUGUCCAUAGUGCUUCUGCAACCUACGCUACAAGAAAUCUAGCGUUGUACUGUAAACUCUUGCUGAGACUACAUGUUAGCACAAUAUACAGUACUGCUUACUGGCUAGCUAUGGAUUUGACGUGUGAUGGUAUUUCGUAGUAUGUACAGUGGUGCUCUAUGUAGAAUAGCAAACUACUGUACAACAUGCAAAGUACUUAAAAGACGUUUCAGAAUGUAAAGAUAAAAUGUAUCCUCGUCUAUGAUCACACCACUCUUGAUAACAAUAAGAAUAAUACUUAGUGCUUAUAAUCUGAAGGUGGCAAAAUGCUUUACAAAGGAUGGUAAAUAUAAUUAUCCCUGUUCUGUAGAUGAGGAAAACAGAGGUUGAGGUGGCUGAAGUAACUUGUCAAAGUCACACAACAGCUUGAUGGUAGAGCAGGGAGUAGAACACAGGCUUACUGAUUCCUGUCCAGGUUCCUGUUGGUUUUGGAUCAUGUUGCCUCCAGAUAAGAUCCAUACCUAUCCUGAGUACGUGGAGGGUGCUCAUUAUUGUAGUAUUUAGGCAGUUAAGGGUUUCUCUUAGCUUAGCAUAUAGGUAGUUCUGGUUGCAUGAGAUUAGUUUUGGUGAUAAGUAUUACAGAACACAUUCAGAGAAGAAGGAAGGGCUUUCCCCCCUCCAACAGAAGGCAGUGCUUUCAUUAAAAUGGUAAUACCUGAGACUGAACAAAUCUGAGCAGUGCAGAAGAAUUCUAUUAUGUCUGUACAGAGCAAGAGCAGUUCACAAAAUCCUGUGAUGCUCCCACAGCUGACUUUGGGAGUUUAGGAUGACUAGUCUGACAAAUUGUUGCCCCCCCCCCCUAAAAACAUAACUGAGCCAUUUUAAUGAAAAUGCUUCCUCUGCUGUCAGAGCAGUGGGGCCCAUACGCUUGUGCUGGGGGCCUUGGCUAGCUGUCAGCAUCUAAUAUUUUUAUCAAGGGACAAAUCUUCAGAUAAGACAAGGGUCUGAUGGCUACUAGGCCCUCACUAAGCAUAGAGUUGUGAGUAUUCUGGUGUAUUUAUGUCCUGUAACCCCCUACCCCCCACCGCUCUCCAAUCUUCUACCUGUUUAUAGAAUCUAAAGUGGCUAACAUUGUUAAUAUAUUAAUACACAAAACUUCACUGGGAAGCAGGGUUGCUAUACACACAAAAGGCCGGAAAUUAAAAGAUAAGCCACUUAACAGUACAUACCCUCUACUCCUCCACUCACAAGUACUCACUUUAUCAUUACGACAACUCUCGUACACCACAAACCAUGCACAGCAGCUGUAACUCUGUGCAAUUUUCACAUUUCUGCACACUUUCCUACCAGAGUAUUUUCCCGCAACACAAGUAGUUGUGGAUGUGUGAUGUAGUGGGUGAUUACAUUAGGAGAAGGUAGUUUGGUAAAGAAUUGUGUGCAGAUGGGCAGCUGAAGGGGGUAAUGGAAGGCUAGCAUCUCUAGGGGGCAGAGUACUGGUUGCUAUCAGGUGGCUUAACUUUCAUGACUUUCAUCUAGUGGGAUUGAAUCAGUUGUGCUGUGUACUGCUGUGCUGCCAUGGUUAUAUAAGGAUAUAGGAGUGAGUCCAGAGCCCUAAGAUUUUAGAACACAGACAUCUGGAAGGCAGAGGGCAGACAGCCUGGCAAGCUGAAGCCUACAGCUGGCUCACAUGGCGGUUAGGGAACAUUUAAAUAUAACUAACUUAACUAGUAAGCUCUUUAUGCCUUAAUAAGAACAACACAUCAGAUACUUGACAAUCAGUAUGCUGAGUAUUAAUUUCCAAGGUUUUUUCUGUGCUUAAUGGGGUGGGCAGUGGAUGAGUGAAGAGGAGUGGGCCUGGGGGGGCUACAAGUGAAGUGGGAAAAUAUUUUAUCUGUCAGCAGCUCUGCCUGAACCCUCCCAUAUCAGCAGUUGUGCACACAAACCCUUUUCUGCUGCAGGACAAAAAUCUAACAGAAAAGUCAGCUCCUCCUGGAGAUAGUUUUAAGUGUGUCUGGACUCUUGACCCCAUCAGUCCAGGUUGCAUGUGCCUGCUCCCCCUCACUCAAGCAGGCUUCUAGGUCUCCCCUCACAUCAACCAAUAAGGUUUGGGUGUGCUUGCCCCCACUGCUGCCCUGCCAUCAGUCAGGCUAGCAUGUGCUCGCCCCUAAAAUCCCCUCUAAUUAAUCAGACUUUUGUAUGCCCCCACACCAAUCGAUCAAUCAAUCAAUCAUGUUUUGUAUGCGUUCACUCCUUCCAAAAUAACCAGUCAGCUUUCUGUGUUCCUGCCCUACCCCAUUAACCAAGCAGGGUUGCGUGAGCUCCCCUUGCCCCCCUCUCCUCCUCAGAAAAAUCAGGCUUCCAUGCCCCACCAUCAAUCAAUCUUGUGCACAUCCUACCCUCACUGCCACAAUCAAUUGUGUUAGCAUGUACUUGCACUCCAUUAAUCAUGCUUGCAUGCACAGUAUAUAUAAACUUUCAGUUACAAUGUUAGUAGCAGCUAAAAAUGACCCUAAAUCCAACAUUCAUUUAAAAAUUUUUCUCUGUUGCCCCGUUCUAUAAAGGAUCCAUCUCUACCAAAUUUUUGUGUGGAUAAACUAUGUAAGUAGAACUGCCAAGGAGAUCUUGAGCCAGAGCCCAAAUUUCAAACCCUUACCAUAAAAAAAAACAAGAAAAAAUAAAAACUACACAGAAAAUUCAAAGAGAAAAAACACUAACCCAGUCUGAAAUUUCACAUAAACUGGCCAUACACUUUUGGAGAAAAACAGGAAUUUAUGCCCUAUUUUAGAACAUCACCCUAACUAUGGAGUCUCCAUAACCAUGCAUUUCCACAAUUCUAACAAAUAUAUGAGAUAUUCUGUAUAUGUCUGUGCAUUUGGCUGUGUCAAGAAAGGAUGAAGUAGGCCUUGAAAAAUGAUGGAUUAUGAGAAUUUAGAGUGUCUAUAAAAUUUCCUUACUUUACAUGUGCAAAUUACCACGGUGAUGUGCUGUUAGCUGAAUCAUUAAUAUCUGGUGUCCAUACUGGCUGAGCUGCUGUGUAAGAGAUGACUUCCACUGGUAUGUCUUGAUACGUCAGUUACUAAAACCCCACAAACAUCAUUAACAAUGAGAUUUUGGAGAAACCUCAAAUAAAGUAAAAGUUAAUGUCAGAAUCAUUUAAUGGUUGUCUUUGACCUCUCUAUCAAAACAGUAUUAUUAAUAUCACAGUAAUGCAUCGAGGUUUCCCCCACUUAUUUUUAAAAACACUUAUAGGUGGAGUACUGCCUAU